This is a small nuclear RNA of Lepus europaeus (European hare), 183 nucleotides long. RefSeq annotates it as U2 spliceosomal RNA. Lineage: Eukaryota; Metazoa; Chordata; Mammalia; Lagomorpha; Leporidae. The transcript has a single exon. The record is from RefSeq and is a predicted model, not a curated record.
AUCACUUCUCAGCCUUUUGGCUAAGAUCAAGUGUAGUAUCUGUUCUUAGCAGUUUAAUAUUUACAGUUUAGAAACAAAUUUUCGUAAUUUGACUCAAUUUAAUUAUCCAAUCAGGUAAAUAGCAAUACUGUUUUCAAACAUAUGCAGUCAUGCAUUGUUUAAUGAUGGGGUCAUGUUCUGAAA